Cercocebus atys (sooty mangabey) is the source of this 5387-nucleotide long non-coding RNA. RefSeq lists it as uncharacterized. NCBI's taxonomy places the organism in Eukaryota, Metazoa, Chordata, Mammalia, Primates, Cercopithecidae. The record is from RefSeq and is a predicted model, not a curated record. The transcript is spliced from 4 exons.
CUUAAGCUCCUCACUUUCUGAGUCUCAGUCUCUCAAGCACAUGCAACUACAGGCUCACCCCACCAUGCCUGGCUAAUUAAAAAAAAAUUUUUUUUGGUAGAGAUGGGGUUACUCAGGCUUGUCUCAAACCCCUGGCCUUGAGUGAUCCUCCUUCCUAGGCCUCCCAGAGCCUAGGGAUUCAGGUGUGUGCCUGGCCAACACCCUAAUUUUAACAAUUGUCCUGACUCAUGUAUCUUUCAAGCUUAAAAGAGAACAUGCGCCCGGCGCAGUGGCUCACGCCUGUAAUCCCAGCACUGUGGAGGCCAAGGCGGGCGGAUUGCCUGAGCUCAGGGAUUCGAGAACAGCCUGGGCAACAUGGUGAAACCCCAUCUCUACUAAAAUACAAAAAACUAGCCGGGCGUGGUGGUAUGUGCCUGUAAUCCCAGCUACUUGGGAAGCUGAGGCAGGAGAAUUGCUUGAACCUGGGAGAUGGAGGUUGCAGUGAGCUCAGAUCACAAAGGAAAAGAAGGAAGUGCUUGUUGUUAUGAGGGUGAGAGGGUAGCAUUUGUUAAACUUGGCUAGAGCCAGUGCAAAUAGAAUUUGGGAAGGUCUGUGAUUUUUUCAAAGCUAUUUACAAGCUACUACUCCUCAGCAUGUAACUCAAAGGACAUUUUGAGUAUUAAUAAGAUUAUUUCAUGAACUGCUUUGAUUUUGUUCACUGAAAUGUACCUUAUAAAUUAUGAUUUUACGAUUGAAGAAUAUAGGUAGAUUUAUAUUUUUUCCUCUCUCUUUUCAGAAUUAUGUUGAAUUUCUCAAUCAGGUAGAUUUCUAAAUGUGAUGAUAAUUGCUAUAAAAUUGUCAAAAAGUUCCAAAGCAGUCUGAAACACAGUAGUGGGUUCAAUCAAUGGUUAGUUUCAUUUCUUUUCAAAGGCAUCACUAGACUUUCCUUAUGGCUCUGGAAUUGUUCUCAAACUUUGAUUGAUCUUCUGAAUCACCUGAAGUACUUGAUACGGUAGGAAUAUUUGUGUCCCCUCAAAUUUCAUAUGUUGAAAUCGUAACUUGGUAUUAGGUGUUAUAUACCUCCUGUAACAGUGGUAUUAGGGAGCGGUGUAUUUGGGAGGUGGGGCUUUUGAUCAUAGAGGUGGCGACCUUCUGAAUGGGAUUAGUUCCCUUGUAAAAGAGACCUCCUAGAGCUCCUUUGCCGCUUCCACUAUGUGAAGACACAGUAAGAAGCCAGCAGUCUUCCAGCCAGGAAGGCAACACUCACCAGAACCCUGAUCUCAGAAUUCUGGCCUCCAGAGCUGUGAAAAAUAAAUUUCUAUUGUUUAUAAGCCAGCCAAUCUAUGCUGAUUUGUUAUUGCAGCCUGAAUAGAGUAAGACAGUACUUGUUUAAAAUAUGCAUUUCCCACCUGUCCUCCCAGGAAAUUCUGAUCCAGGAGGUUCGAGGUGGGACCUGGGAAACAUUUUCAACAAGGCUCUCAAGUGAUAAUUAAAAUCAGCAACACUGCGUUACAACAGUGGUUCUCAACUCUACUUGGGCAGCUUAAAAAAAAUCCUGGUCCCUGGGUCCUGCCUCUAACCAAUGUAGUCAGAAUCUUUGGUGGCAGGACCCAGGCAUUUGUACUUUUUAAAAAAGAAUCCUCAGGUGGCUUUAAUGUGCACCUAGGAUUAACAAUCAUUGUUCUCAGUGUUCUUGUGAAUAUUAAAAUAGAUUCUGGAAAAAUGCUGUGGGAUCAUAUAUUUUUACCUCUAGUGCUUCUCUAAGAUAAAAUAUAUUUAAUUUGAGGAAGUGUUAAAAUCAGAAUAUUUCAGUUUGAGACAGAUACCACAUAGAGUCAAUUUGAGUACCAGAUAGUCAACAUUUCUGGGGUGAAAUAAGUCAGUCUCCAGACUUUUUUCAAGAACUUUACCAAUAUUCUACUUGGGCUUUUAAUCAUGUAUAUAAUUCACCCUAGUAACCCCUUAGCAACAGACUGUGAUAUGCAGAUAGGAUGCAAAUUAUCAGGUGAAGAAAGUAGAGAAACGCAGAAGCAAGAUUUGAGGUUAAUUGUGGUAGAAUUUAAAACUGUGGCCAGGAACAGACUUCAUUAUUCUCCUUCUUUUUGCUUCCAGAAAAGAAUCUGCACAGGUGUAUUUACCUAGGUGAUCUCCAGUCUGGCUAUUCUUAAUUGGCCAUCUCAGCUUUUGGAAUAUGUGGAAAGCCAGGUUCUGAUCUGGAUAAUGGCACAAGGAUGUUGGCAGAUUAUUAUGUCUCUUGAUUUCAGGGAGUUUAGCUUUAUUUUUGCAGUGAGGUGCAUUAGUUGAGGAAGAUCCAGUACCAGAUGGUAAUGUUGGCUGGGAGUGGUUUUCUCACCUAUAUUUGGCAGCUUUACUCGGAAGUGGUGUUUUCAGUGCCUGAGACUUCCAGUCUAUGCUACUUAACAUGCUCACUGGGAAGCUUUAGGUGGUACAGAAGCAAUGACACAUCUCAUUAAAGGUCCUGUAACUAUGAACAUCUGACAUCUGUGCUGCAAAUAGAACUGAAUGCAGCCUUCAAGUAGUUACAGAUUCAAGGGGUAUGUUGUUUUCUAAAGGCACGGCUGAAAUUCAUUAUAUUUACCAGGCUAAUUUCUAGAGGCAUUGACUGGAAGACAUAGAUUAUGCAUUAAUAAACUGCUCCUUUCCAAGAUGACCUCCUCCUAAAUGGGUCCCCUCUUUCCUAGCAUUUAGACAAUGGUUUCAGCUGAUGGCUUAUCCAUGAUUUAGCAAUAAUCAUAACAAUAGUGAUCAUAAUUUGAAUACCUAGAAUAUGCUAGGAUACUUUAUGUAUAAGUGAUACAAUAGCUUUCCAAGAUAUUCCCACUUGGUGGAUGAGGAGCCUGGGGCUCUGAGGAAUUAAGGAACUUGCCAAAGACCACAAAACUCCUAAGUGAUAGAGCCAGGAUUCUGCCAGCUAUCUGGUUGCCCAGUGGAGUCUCUGUCCAUCUUGUCACCAGCCCCUGCACUGUGUACAGGAAUGGAAUCAGCAUUCGUUGCUAUAAACUACAGUAAGGUCAAGGAGGCAGAAUUUCCUGCAAGGAAGUAAAGAGUCCCUUCUACCUUUGCUGGAUGGAGCCUUCUUUGCCACGUACCGGGGUGAGAAGGCUGGGGACAGAGGAGUGUGAGCUGGAAGGAGAGGGGACAUAAAGUGACAAAAUAAGAGGCUUUCACAAUGUAAAGAAUAUAUGCACUGAAGAGCUAUUUGGCAACAGAUUCAUUUACCGUGAGGUGAGCCCUUUAAAUUAUUGAGUUUGAAAUGUUCCCUUUUAAGGUUAGCCGGAUAUGAAACUAACUUCUCUCUUUCUACCACUCACUCAGUCUUCUCUUCUGUAGGUGUGACGUGAGGCCUGGCUAGACAAAGGGAUGUCCAAAGAGGACAGACAGGGCAACUAUUUCAUGCAGCAACUAUUUACUUAGGAACAAGGCACUUUUAGUUUGAAUGGUAUAUUUGUGUAAUUUAGAAAGGCACUUUCCUUCUGUCUUUUGAGAAAAUGUCAUAAUAGGCUGAUUGUAUUAAAUCAAAACUUUAUUUCUAUCUGUUGUAAAAUGAGGCAGCAAAAAGACAAAUCUAUGACAUAUAUGAAGAAAAGUCUCCUCUGUGAUGUGUGCAAUUGUGUAUCUCAUCAUCAGUAUGCCCGCAGGUAGUAGCUCUGUAGAAGCACCAUGAUGUGUCAUACCCCCUGCUAGGUGGUGGGGGUCCACUGGCUCGUCUGUCCAGGAACUGCUGAGUCCAUCAGAGAAGUCAGCCAUGCAGGUGGACUAUUAUGUUAUAAAGUGAUGGAUGCAAUCGUAUAAGUAUUAUGUGGGUGUGGUUAAACACAGAGAAGCUAGCAACAAACACUAUUUGGUUCUUGAAACAAUAGCAGGAGUUUUCCAAUCAUGGAUAAGGGAUGGAAAGAUAAGGGAAGGUGACAAUUUCAGGAAGAGAGAAGAGCAUGUAUAAGAUUAGAAAACUAGGGAAGGAGGCCAGGAGAAAUUAGCAAGGUUGGGGUUGCAUGUUGAAUAAGAAAUCUAGAGAGGUGAACUUGGUAAGGUUCUUGUAUGCUAAAUUAAUAAAUUUGGAUUUGAUUUUUUAGAUAAUAGAGCCAAUAUAGAGAUUUAUUUGUUCAGGAAGUCAGUGUUGUUGGUAGAAUGGAGUAUGAACUAGAGACUGAUUGACAACUGGCAGCCAAGUAAGUAGGCCAUUGGAAUGGUCAAAAAGAAGAAAGCUGCAUUUUUUUCAGCCAGGGUUGUAGCAAUUCAGACAGGAGAGACUAUUUUUAUAUAACCUCUAAUAUUUAGUGACUGGUUGGAAUUUGAUGGCAGCUGUAAGCAGAGGGCAACAAAGAAAUAACUUUUAGUAAAAAAAUGAAUGGAUGUAGAGUUGACUUAAGUCUUUUGUUUGCCAAAUUCAAACUUGGUAUUUCCAUCCUGUCUGAUGACUGACCUCAGAAUCUAGACUGAUAGAAAUUACCAUGUUAAACAAGAAGUCAGCAAAUGCUACUGGUGUGGCCUGUUACCAAGGUAAGCAGAGUAAAUUAGUCUUGGAUUUGCUUAAAUGUCUUCUUAUCAGAAAACUUUUUCUUGGUACCAAGUGGCAGCCUCAUCACUACUCAUUCCAUCCUGUCCCCAUACCCAGCUUUAUUUUUCAUCCUAACUCAUUGCCACAUGACAUCACAUCUAUUUCCUCAUUUAUUUUCUCUCUCCCUGCACCAAAAAGUCAACUUUAGCAGGAACACAUGACUUUCUUCUCUAUUGCAUUUCCAGACCUGGAAUAAUGUCUGGUACAGAGUAGUCAAUAAGAAAUAUUUGUUGAAUGUUGAGUGAUUAUUUGUCAUGCAGUGCCUUAGUUUUUAUUCCACAGAACUUCAGCUGCGGACUUUCCAGGUUUGACUUACACUGCAAUAGAUUCUCUGAAUGGUAAUUUACCACCUGCAUGAGAUUGUGUGAUAUGUUGAGUACCUGAUAUCUAUCCAUCUCUUUCUCAUCUGUCCUCCUACCAACACUCAUUUCGGCUGCACCUCUCAUUAUUGGUGAACAGCAUGCUAUAUUCCCAAGUUGCUCAGAUCAGAAACUUGGAGCUAAUUUUUGACCCCCAUCACAUUUGUACCUUUAUUUAGUUGCCAAGUUUUUAUAGCUUUUCACUUGUUCUCUCCUGAAUUGGCACUUUAUUGCUUAAACCAUCAUCCUGAGAUUUUCUGAUCUCUGUCUAUUUAAUCUCUCACUGUGGUUGACCAUCCUGUAUUGCAGAAUAGCAUUUCUCAGAUGUUGUUUUCAUGAUAUUUUCAGAGACUUCUUGUUGUUUAAGAAGAAUAACUUGAACUUUUCAGUCUAAAAUUCUAGUCUGUUCUUCAAAUUGCUCUCUAUUCCUUAUUAAACUAACUUGAUAUUUUCCCAGCAUUUCUCGCAAU